CAGGUUUUGGUCCCAGAGAUAAUAUCCGAGGGGUACAGAAGGAGACGGAAAGCAGAGAGAGAGCUUGAAGUGCCUGCUCAAUCAAGUCAAAUACUGAACAGCUUCCUAGAGGAGAGGCUGAGAAUUUAAAGCACCCCAAAUAAGAUGAUCCACUCCAACACCUCCCCUUUAAAGGUGAGAAAAAUGAUGUUUACAGCUGAUUUAUGAUUUGACCAAAGUCAGAU
This 224-nucleotide long non-coding RNA is filed under the name Aotus nancymaae (Ma's night monkey). RNAcentral's name for it is "lncRNA (ENSANAG00000038622.1)". The record is from RNAcentral. Lineage: Eukaryota; Metazoa; Chordata; Mammalia; Primates; Aotidae.